RNAcentral lists this ribosomal RNA (497 nucleotides) under uncultured bacterium. RNAcentral describes it as "partial 16S ribosomal RNA". It matches the Rfam family "Bacterial small subunit ribosomal RNA", at positions 29 to 523 of the family's 1533-position model. The record is from RNAcentral.
UUGAACGCUGGCGGCAGGCCUAACACAUGCAAGUCGAGCGGCAGCGCGGGGCAACCUGGCGGCGAGCGGCGGACGGGUGAGUAACGCGUAGGAAUCUACCCAGUAGCGGGGGAUAGCCCGGGGAAACUCGGAUUAAUACCGCAUACGCCCUAAGGGGGAAAGCAGGGGAUCGUAAGACCUUGCACUAUUGGAAGAGCCUGCGUUGGAUUAGCUAGUUGGUAGGGUAAAGGCCUACCAAGGCGACGAUCCAUAACUGGCCUGAGAGGAUGAUCAGUCACACCGGAACUGAGACACGGUCCGGACUCCUACGGGAGGCAGCAGUGGGGAAUAUUGGACAAGGGGGGCGACCCUGAUCCAGCCAUGCCGCGUGUGUGAAGAAGGCCUUCGGGUUGUAAAGCACUUUAAGUGGGGAGAAAGGUUCGGCAGCUAAUACCUGCCGGAAGUGAUGUUACCCACAGAAUAAGCACCGGCUAACUCUGUGCCAGCCGCCGCGGUAA